UCGGGAAUUUUGGGCAAUGGGGGAAACCCUGACCCAGCAACGCCGCGUGAAGGAUGAAGUAUUUCGGUAUGUAAACUUCGAAAGAAUAGGAAGAAUAAAUGACGGUACUAUUUAUAAGGUCCGGCUAACUACGUGCCAGCAGCCGCGGUAAUACGUAGGGACCAAGCGUUGUUCGGAUUUACUGGGCGUAAAGGGCGCGUAGGCGGCAUGACAAGUCACUUGUGAAAUCUCUGGGCUUAACCCAGAACGGCCAAGUGAUACUGUCGCGCUAGAGUGCAGAAGGGGCAAUCGGAAUUCUUGGUGUAGCGGUGAAAUGCGUAGAUAUCAAGAGGAACACCUGAGGUGAAGACGGGUUGCUGGGCUGACACUGACGCUGAGGCGCGAAAGCCAGGGGAGCAAACGGUAUUAGAUACCCAUGUAGUCCCUGAGCGGGCUGGCAAGGCGCAU
RNAcentral lists this ribosomal RNA (447 nucleotides) under uncultured bacterium. Its description in RNAcentral is "bacterial SSU rRNA". It matches the Rfam family "Bacterial small subunit ribosomal RNA", at positions 355 to 825 of the family's 1533-position model. The record is from RNAcentral.